This 305-nucleotide ribosomal RNA is filed under the name uncultured bacterium. RNAcentral describes it as "partial 16S ribosomal RNA". It matches the Rfam family "Bacterial small subunit ribosomal RNA", at positions 508 to 807 of the family's 1533-position model. The record is from RNAcentral.
ACAGCAGCCGCCGCGGUAAUACGUAGGGUGCGAGCGUUGUCCGGAAUUACUGGGCGUAAAGAGCUCGUAGGCGGUUUGUCGCGUCGUCUGUGAAAUUCUGCAGCUUAACUGCAGGCGUGCAGGCGAUACGGGCAGACUUGAGUACUACAGGGGAGACUGGAAUUCCUGGUGUAGCGGUGAAAUGCGCAGAUAUCAGGAGGAACACCGGUGGCGAAGGCGGGUCUCUGGGUAGUAACUGACGCUGAGGAGCGAAAGCGUGGGUAGCGAACAGGAUUAGAUACCCGCGUAGUCCCUGUCUCUUAUAC